This is a long non-coding RNA of Bacillus rossius redtenbacheri, 12742 nucleotides long. RefSeq lists it as uncharacterized. Lineage: Eukaryota; Metazoa; Arthropoda; Insecta; Phasmatodea; Bacillidae. The record is from RefSeq and is a predicted model, not a curated record. The transcript has 2 exons.
GAGGAUACCCUUGUGACUGAAACAUAUCCUCUAUGAUUGCUUCCAGUUUGCCUAUCCGCAGUACCACGUGCUUGUUCGGAACUAAACUGCUCACUACCGCCACGCGGCAUUCAUGGCGGCUGCCGCGCGCACAUUUCUUCCCAAUAUGAACUUGAAAACAAUUAUAAUUUUAAUAUAUUUUUGAGUUUGUAAUAAAACAUCUGAUCAUCCAGCCAUGGUCUCGCAAGUAUUUCCCUUGUGUAUUUUCAUAUAAAUAAUGUUAGCCUUUUUUUAACUUAUGUAACUAUGGAAAAUAUGUAAUUUAUUACAAAAAUUACUAGCCAUUUUAAAACUAGCUUUAUAAGCAGUCGUAAUGUUCAUUAAAGAUUAUGUAUAUUUUCAGAGACUUAUUCCUACAACUGUAUUAAGUAAUAAAAGGCAGGAAAUACAUUUGUUUAACAGAAAAGUAUGCAAUAAAAAGUUGAAAAUUAUAUUAUUCAAAAACCAAAAUUCAAUCACAAUUGCAAAUACAUCACAAAAUGCAAAAAAUAACCUUGCAAAUGAUUUUAAUUAAAUGCAUUAUUUUGCGUUCAACUUAUUAAAAUUAUGAUACUUCAUAUACUUGUAAUAAUUCUUGCAUAUUUGCUGUAUGGUACGCUCUUUCCGAUUAAGGGUCCUGUAUAAGUUAAACGCGUUUGUGAUCAAAUUACUCGUCUGUUGCUUUAGCCGCAAGCCGGAGCGGUAUGAAAUAAAUGAUUUUACACUCGUGACAUUGUAAAUAAAGCUAAAUAUAUAUGAGUUAAAACAAAAUACAAGUAUUCUGGGUAAACUAGAAAAUUGUCCCGAGCUCGACGCCCCAAUGCCGAGGUCAACUACAUGGAAGAUCAGCAGCUGGGACAGCUCAGUACGACGACGAGACCGUUUACGAAGUGUCGAUGGAUUAUCAGGAAAGUCAACAACUUGUUCAGGUACUUUGAGCCUCUCGUCAAAAUUAAUUUUAAAUUUGCUACCGUUAGAACCUGGAGGUGACUUAUCUUCCGUGUUCUACCAAGCGAAGCAAACUCUAAAUUAAUUGCUAACCGAAUUGUAAUAAUUUUAACGCAAAAUCCAAGAGCGAAUUUGGUUACUUUCCUCAUGCUAGAUUUUACAAGAUUUUGCAAUAGUUAAAUAAAUUAAUCAAAAACUUGUCUUUUUGCUGUUCCCGCAUGCAAUUAACUCGGCGAAUAUUGACGAUUUUUAAGUUAACAUGAAAAUACUAUACGAUUUUCAUGCGAUAAUGUGUUGAUAAUAGUGUGUGUAGUUUUAAGAAACUGUCUUGUGAUUUGUAUUACAUUCACUUACGUAAUGAAUGAUCUAAAUGUAAUGUUAUGAAUACCGUUCAUUCGUUUCGUUUUUCUUUAAUCCGGAGGGUCUGUGGUUGAAACUGAAUACAUGUGCCAUUCCUCUUUGCUAACUAAUGUGGCUUAAUUGACAUGACAUGAAGGCAUAAUUCACGUUGUUUGAAUAUACGAAAUAUUUGUUGAGUAAAACUUAAAUAUUUUAUUAUUUAAAUUUCUGUUAAGUGCCGUACACACAUUAAAAAUAUCUUGCAGCAUUCCUUAGUUUUAUGUCUAUUAAAAUUUGCUCGUGUGUAGUGUAUUAUUUCCAGUAGGCGUGUUGCUGCAGUUAAAUUACAUUGUAUCACACGUGUAACAUACAUUUCAUAUGUUUGCGUUCAAAUAUUCCUGAAAGGGUAAAACCUAUGUAUGAUCUUAUAAAGCGCUAUUUAACCUUCUAGAAAAUAGUUUGAUCUAUUUUAGCAGUUUUUUUUAAAUAAUCGUAAUUAAAUGAUUUAAAAAAUCUUAACUUCUGUGAACAACAAAACAUUUUGUCCAAUUUUGGGUGUUAAAAUUAACCACUGUAUUCUACCUUUCUUAUAUUCUGUUCUAAAUAAAAUUAUAAUUUUUUUGACAGAUGUAUGACUAAAGUUUGACACUGAGUUGAAUACCGUAAAUUAAUUCAUUUUUCGUUUGAUACAAGACCAGUUAGUUAGAGUGACUAAACAAAGAAGGUUUUGUUAAUUUGUAUCGUAUGCCUUCAAACACGAGCGUAGUGCACAAGGUGUAAGUUCUUGAAUCCAUACUUUCGGUCCCGGCGCAUGUCUAGCAGGUUUGAAGCCCGGUCGUUCAUCGUCGCACUGGGGAGUCGCCACUGUCACCGCAGCGGUCCCCCGCGGUGGGCGCUCCGCCCCAACCCUCGUCAGCCACUUGUUCCCACGUCCACGAGCGGUCUCCAUAGCCUACAGUUUAUUUCAUUUUAAUACUUUUAACUCUCAAACAUUCUAAACUAACAAAAACAUUAAAGGCUGCCUUUUAUUACAGUCAUAAAUGAAACAUACAAAAGCUGGACUGUCUAAUCAGUAAAAAAAAAUACAAACUUCCAUUGAUUAAACAUAUUAAUUAAAAUAUAAUCAGAUAAAGAUAAAAAAAUGUAAGUUUUGUGGCCCCUCAAGUAUGCUAAAUAAUUUGUUUUCAUUUUCGUCACGUGUCGUCACAUGUAUUUUUUCUUUUAUGUGACAGUCAUUUGUAGCAAUAGAAUGCCUAAUCAGAGGUGUAGAGGCUGGACGAUAGUGUGACACACACUGGUGUUUCUUGUUGGCUAUGAACUGGCGCGCAGUCUUCUCGUAGUGCAUAAGGCAUUUGUCUGAUAAGAUUUCAAUUGUAGCCAUAACAUUGUAUGGUGGAGAAAUGAAGAUAAAGUGUAAUGCACGUACCUUGAGUGCUUUGAAGAAUCUUUACUGGGAGUUUCGUGCCUAAAUAUUAUUCUGAAAACACGCGUUUUAGACAUUUUCAGUCUUCUAAAAAUACAUUUUAAAAAUGAAAUCCGGAAACAGAACUACUCAUCCGCCUUUAGUGCUUCUCGUAAGCUUUUCUAGUAAGUGGUUUUCGUAAGCAGACCCCACUCGAAUAUCUUUAGCAGUUUUUUGAUUGUUUUUUGUUUUUUUUUUUCUCUGAAGCCCUCCACUCCCUGUGUGUGUUCAGUUAGGCAGGCUCACCAUUGUUUAAAAUUCAUACCAAAGUCUUGAGAGGUUAAUUUGUUUCCAUAAUAAACGUACCAUUUCUUUUUAUUGGGGAUUUGCUGUUCAUUAGACAAUAGAGACAAACGCUUACAAAAGUUCGCAGGAAAUGGGGGAAAGGAAUCGGUUAAGGAAGCUUCCCAGCAACAUGUGGAGUGAUUUCGGGAAACAAUCGAAAACCGAAAUUAGGAUUACUGUACCGGAUGAAUGGCCUAAGUAUAGAGGCCUGUCCGAUCCGCGGACAAAUUUUUUUCCCGUUCUGCGUGUAUACGUCACAUUGGAGGUACUGCAGAAGAUAUUGGCGCCAAUCUACCACGGGUUUGAGUGUUAUAUUUAUAAUAUGAAAUGUCAAAAUGCUACGUAAAAUGGUUGCCAAAAUAAUAGUAAAAGAACAAAAGUUAUUUAAAGCAUUACCAUUCCUAUUAAAACUAUAACUUAUGAGAAUUGAGUGUUCUCGCGCAAACAAAGAAAAAUUUUGACAAUAAUUGUUAUUACACAAAUUAAGUUAGGAAGGGUUAAAUGUGUGGUCAAAUUACGUUUUUUAUAGCAACUGAUCUUGAGGAAAUGUGAUUUGGUUUGUGUAGGACUUGGCUUGAACAGUUGAGCCAAAUUUAUUUUAAACAAAGGCACAACACUUAAGUAUUGGUUUUAUUUCUAAUGACUUUCUAAAUUAUAACCUCGUUAAAAAAUUUAAUGUAGGAUACAGGUGCAACUGAAUUAUUAGCAUUACUUUUUACUAUGUUUCAUUUAGCCAACAAAUGUAUCUUAUAUUGCCACAUGAAUUAAUUUAGGGCUAUAUAUUCUUUGUAUUAUUGAAUUAACUUACACGGACUUUGGAAAAAUUAUAAACGUGUCCCAAAGUUUUGGUUGGAAAUGUUAAAUAUAAUUUGCACUUAAUUAAAUGAUAAGUUUCUUUAAUGGUCUGUUGACAUCAUUAACAAAAAUUUGUGAAAUAUAAAUUUAAUGUGUAAAUAUUCAUUCUUCAGAGUAGGUUUUGUUUUGUUUGUUGAGUAUUUAUUUUGGCAAUUUUCUAGAGUUGAAGAUCUUCUGAAAGUUUACAUAAGAUUCUUAAAAUUGUAUUAUUGAGUUACUUUCAUUAUAUGUGAUGAUUCUGUAAAGCUUCAUUGAGAUAUUUCAACUUUUCAAGUAGUUUACAGGUAGUUUACCAUUGGAAUAGUAUUUUGGGUUGCAUUAGGUCAACUACUUUUUAAAUACUGUAAACUUAUUUGAACGGUUGGUUAGGUUUGGAUAGUUACAUUAAAAAUACUGUUUAAUCGCAUGAUUGGCUGGAUUAGGUAGUUAUACUUCAAACAGUGCAAAAUUGUGUGAAUGAUUGUAUAGGUUAUGUAAGAUGCAUUUAAAAUACUGAAAAUUGGUGUGAAUGGUUGGUUAGGUUUGGUUAGCGACAUUAAAAAUACUCAACGGUAUUCUUCAGUUAAAGUGUUUCUCAAAAAAACCAUUUCGGAAUUAAAUGUCCUUAGUAUAGCACCUUCUCUAGGAAAUUACCGUAACUUUAAAUACGGAUAACAAGCUGCAGGUAGAGAAUAUAGAAUGUGUUCGCUAAGUUCAGGAAAGCGGGGUGGCAGAUUUGCAAUUAAAAGAAGUGAAAGUCUGCAUUUUUUAAAACUUUGAAACUCUUAAUGUUAAAAGUUUUGGGAAAUGAUUAAUAAAAAUGAAACUUUUUUUUAUAAUUUCUUGUAUCGUAUGGAUGACAGAUUAUUAAUUUUCCAACCUUGAUUUUUGCAGUAAUGGCUUUUUCGGAUUAGUUGAACUAACCAUCCAAAUGAUUUUUGUUCUCCGUAUCUACAACAACCACUUCGGUAUUGUCCCGCAUAGUAUUUGGUUUGACUAUGCUGUUGGAUGUUUAAACUGAUACCCUUGUGCAAGUUGUCGAUAAGGAUGAGUUUGGAGAAUGAUUCGAAUGCGAAAACAGGCUGUGUACAACCUUUGCCAUGUGAAGCUUGUGUUCGUUGCAAACCUAACUUGGCCACAGGCGUUCGGCGGCCGUGCGCGACAUAACAACUACGAGCUCCGAGUCGGUUACCAAGUAAGUGGUGGUAGUGCACUGCAAUCUCGCAUAUCUCAUCGCUUUUCCUGUGCAUAACCUUGCAAUGUGAAACAUAUCGUUAGUCUUUUGACUUGGCCAUGUAAAAUCACCUGUGACAAGCUGUACGUAUGGAGACUAGUUGGCUUGAUUUAGGGCUUCUUACGGCAGUUAAUCUAGUUAAUGAUUAUACGGGUUUUUUGUGUAGGCACUAACUCACCGUUAUUUUGUGUGCGUUAAUGGCAACAUUUCUAUGUAUUCAACAAUUCCACAUGCCCGAUUUAUUAAUUCGUUUCCUUGCGCCGUUGUCAAUGUAAUUUUGCUUUCAGUGUAAGGAAGUAAAACUUAAUUAAAGUAGAUUCAGGCAAAGCUUGUGACAGUGUUGUGUUAAGUUAUCAAAAUACAUAAAGAAAACUAUAUUGGCUUCAUAGACUAUGGAUGCAUGAUGGUUUUGCAAUAAAUUUGGUUAGUAAGCUACAUUUAAAAGAAUUGUAUAUUUAUUUGACGUUUGUAAAUGAAACGUCGUUUAAUUUACUCGCCAUACGGCGCACAGUGUCUAUGAAAGAUUAUGCAUACUAGAGACCGAAAGAAUUUGCAGAUUCAUAUAGUGACAAACUAAAAUUCAAACUCGUAUAACCGUGUACUUGUCUGCAAUGGACUCACAGACAUGCGGAGUUUUUCAAGCCAAUAACAAGUCGGCAACCGAAGAAGUACCAAAUCACGGGUAGCCCAGUCGAGACUUGCAGUCAGCAGCCAGUGAUACUUGCCCGACUAUACAGGCGACUAUUGAGUCGAUCGUGAAGGUCAAUUGAUCUCACCAGUCUUUCCAAUCACGAUCUAUUACGUUAGACGAUUCAUCGCGGAGGAUUCUGAGAGUUUUGUUUGGGCGUUAUGCAACAUUUAUAGGGGCAUGUAUUUUUCGCGAAAAGAUUUUGAGACUAGCUUAGAGUUAAAACACUCUAGCAUAGUCUGUGUUUUGUGAUAGAGUUUCUUUCAGGUACAUGUUUACGGUUGGUACAACAAUCACAACCAUUCAGCGUGCUUAGUCAAAUAAGACAUUUGCUUAUUUUGCAGACGGUUACCAAUUAUAAGGAGAAAACCGCUGGCUCGGGCAUAUCUUAUUGCAGUCUAAUGAGCGUUCAGAUGGCCCAAAACAUUUCGGCAAUGUCUCAGAUUGGCGAAAGAUGCUGGUUUAGCUCUUGGUUUAGCCAUUGUGAUCGUGUAUACUAUGUAACAUAACGUCUUUGAUUUAUCUGGGGGAAAGAUAACAUGUCAACGAUAUUUAUACCAACUUCAGGAGCAAGAAUAAUUUACAUUUGGUUUUAAACAAUAAGGCAGAUAAGUUCGCAAUAAAUCGUCUUUUUACCUAUUACUUCUAAACAUGAUUAUUUGUCGCGAUUCAUAAUUGUGCCUAUUACACCAGUUGCGUUCCACCGAGCGGAGUCAGCAGAAGAAGCAGAAAGUUAAUAACUGACUGGUUUUCUAGCACGUUUGCUACAGAACAGCGGAGCCCAGCCUCACGGGGAAAAUGUUAUUCGAAAUGGCAAGGCGUGUGUAGAGCGAGAGUCCUACAAAAUUCACGUUUUUUCCCCACAAACUUAUGCAAAACCGAGUGGAUGACAUGUGUCCAUUGGCUGCUGCCCUAUUUCACCUUUUCUCCAGGUCGCACGUGAUUUAGUCAGAUAUUUUCUAGGUAGGUAUUUGUGAUUGGCGUUUAGUCCUCCAGGGCGUUUCAAAUAAUUCGUUAUCCAAUCACAAAGGUAUUUGAAGUGAAUAGAAAUAACGCGGAAUUCGCAUGUCCCUAGGUGUGUGCUGUACUGCAUUUGCGUUCGUCGAUUUUAAAACUUUUGUAAUCAAUCUCCUUGCACGCAACUGCUUAUCACUUAACGCAAACAAUGCUUGAUAUAAAACCAUUAAGUUGACAGCAGAUAAGAAGUAGUUCUGUCUCUCGACGUCUUGUCAGAAUUAUAUUGGUUUUCAUCAUCGGUAUCUGAAAUUACUUUUUAUUUGUUUCGUUUGUAUUAGAGAAAUAAUUGUUUUGUUUGAUUGUAACACAUUUUUAUAUCCAUAGCAAUAAAUGGAGACACACAGGUUAUGAGAUUUUUUUUUAUUUUCACUCCAGGUUAGUCUUCACUGGUCUGUAUCCAAGCGAGUCGCCCGCCUACCUGAGCACAGAUACAGCGUACAGAGCUUCAGAAAAACCCACGCGAUUUGAAAACUGUUCUUUAUAUCCGAGUGGUGUCUGUUUACUAAAAACUUUUUAGAAUGCGCUGGGGACGGAUGGGUGGUUAUAUUUCUGUAUUUCGUUUUUAAACGAAAUGUUUUUAGGAGAGUGAAAAAGGUUACAACGUGUGUUUUCAGAAUAAUCUUUAUAUAUGAAACGUCCGGUAAAGAUUCUGACAGCAUCCAAGGGUUUUGCAUUACACCUUAUCUUCAUUUCUUCGACACUUAAUGGUUACCUCUCAAAUUUCAUAGUUGUCCUAUGCAUGACGAGAAGACUGCGCUCCUGUCAACAGCCUUGCGCUUAGAAGCGAUACUGCGCUAGAAACACCAGCGAGCGUCGCACUUAUCCCGCCUCGCUAACCCAGACACACCCCUGACUAGAAGGGCCCUUACGGCUUGGUCUCACACGCCACGUUGAUUUUUCGGCUUUUUUUUUGUAAUUAUUUUUAUCUAAUUACUUUUUCAAAAAACAUAACUCGAUACUGCCUUUGCAUUUGUUGUUCUUCCACAUAUAUUUCCAACAGGUAUUCACUUAGUGAAAUAUAUUGAGUGUAAAACGUCAUGCAAGUGAUGAUAAUUGCGUGACUGUUUACACACACGAUACUGCACUAAGUAAAUAUAUGUUAAAAAUAUUUGUGGCAGAACGACAGAAAUAGCCCCUAGAAAAAAUGAAUGACGAAAAAACCGAAAAAAAAUCAACAUGGCGUGUGAGACCACGUCUAGUCGACAGCUUUAGAGACAGUAACAUAACUCAGACCAGGAGUAUCGGGAACGCAAUCUCCCAUGGGCUGUAGUGAGGUACCAUCCCAGUAUCGGUCUGGAGCGAUGCCGGGAAAUAAUAGAAAGCCGAAAUCUGCCUGACCCCGCGUCAUUUGAAACAUGGUCCUCUGGGAUGUGAGUUCAUUGACCUACCACUGCGCUGCCUACCUGGACACAUACAUACACGGUGUGCGGAACUUCAGAAAAAACACAUUUUUUUCUUGGUUCGUGUUUAAACUGUAUUUUUAUAAGAGUGAAAAGGGCUAAAACGAGUUUUUUUCAGAAAAUAUUUUAGGUAUGAAACUUUUUGUAGAUAUUCACGAAAGCAUUCAAGGGACUUUCAUUACACCUUUCAUCUUCAUUUUUCCGUCAUAUAAUGUUCUGGUUGCCACUCAGAUCUUAUACGCUGCGAAAAGACUGCGCGCCUGUUCAGAGCCGAUACCGCGCUAGAAACACCAGCGAGAGUCGCACCUACAAUCCCACCUCACUAACGCAGAUACACCUCUGACGUGUGACGUUGUUAAGUCAUUUUCCACCCAACCAUCGCCAUAUUGCAGCAUUGGAAACAUGGUGGCACCCAGCCUUGAAUUAGAACUGCCGUCGAUAAACACAGUCAUUUUAAAACGGCUUCCACCGUACAAACAUCAUCGCAGAAACACGGCGCAGACCAUCAGCUGGACAAAAAGCGGCUUCACGCAGGAUCCUUAUCACACUUCUUGCCCUGUUUCUUACUUGGCGAGGAUUCUCCCAUCCAGUCUACCCGGGUUAGAUUUCUAGCGGGUAUUUCCCAGGUGGGGAAACGUGGCGUACGUCGCCGCGAAUGGGGUGGGUUUCCCCCCGCCAAACGCGUUCCUUCGCUGUUACAUGUAUCUCCUCGCGUCACCCUUCAUCCGCCUCAUCUCGUGACCGUGUGCUACCAACCAUGCCGUGGUUUCAAUUCAUUCUCUGAGCGAUUCUCUUUGUGGGGAUUACUGGUUUUAAAUACUGCUGGCAAUGAAGUAUGUCCAAUAAAUAAUAUUGAAUUGUGGUGUCAAGUCGUUCACGCUGGCAGCAAUGGUAAGUCUAAAAGUAUGCGAAGGAGACACUUAUUAGAAGAAAGGAGAAAAUAAGAAAGGUUUUUAGAAGUUUUGCGAUAACCGAGCACAGUAUUUUUCCGUAAGAUUAUCGUGUCAACUUUCAUACCUAAAGAGAAAUAAUUUUCAUUUUUCAGCUAACAUAAUUGUUCAAUUAUCAGUUUAUAUAGCCUACACCAGAGCCCUAAUUAAAUAUUGAUUAUAACCAUAAUUUUUAAAAAUACUAAAACUGGGUAGGACCUAUAGUGGCGAGGCUUAUCAUGGUGACUCACUUCACAAACCAACCUAAUCACGUAACUAAAAACGGCACAGGAAUCAAAGGAUUGGUGGUAUUCGAAUCCGGAACCUGGUCAAACGAAUUUAGACGCUUGAAAUGUUUGGUUAAUGUUUUGGUCGCCAUUGCGCGUGGCGCCAACCAGCCUGCUACUUAAAUGAAUCGUGCAUAAGAACCGACGUCAUAGCAAGCCCAACUCAAGCCAGUCCCAGAGCUGCCAGGUGAGAAUGCCAGGACUUGAUUUUCGUGUUCCUCCACGCCUCGGCCGAUAGCCUAGAGCUGUUUCGGUUUGAGCUAAAGCCCUUUCUCGCUACACAGUAAUACACCACUUAUUAUCAUACACAUCAAUGUAGUGCGUGUUUACUAUAUGCCAGCAAGGCGUGCUACGUGCUCAUAUUCAAUUUUUUUUUAAAAUUCCCCUAACGAAGCUUCAUAGUACCUUAUUACCAGGUCUCUACACACAUCCGUGAAACUUUAGGAGCCAGCGAUAAAAAGUAUACAUGUACUUUUAUGAGUAUUUCUACUUUCACAUUUCAUUUUAACAUUAAAGUACUAUGCGGUACCUAUACAGCAACUUGGUACACUAUCAGUUAUUAGAGUUAACUUAUUGCAAUUUAAAUACCGUCCCGGUUUUUGCACCCAGUUAUUUUUGUACAACAAGAAUUUGUGUCAACAAAAUUGGCUAAUGUAGAGUUAUAUGUUGGUAUCUUGGCAGUAGUCAGUUGCCAGCAAGAAGAAAGUUACGCAUCAUGGUGACCUGGCGUCCGGGAUUCGUAGUCCUGCUUAUUACUAAAUAUAAUCAGUCCCCUCUGAGAGAGGAUUGUGAUUCUGCCUACGUGCAUGUAUUUCGUUUUUGUAUUGCCUUUCCAUAUUGUAAGUUCUUUAGAAGUUAUACUUAACUCUGCUCAAUAAAAAAAUUAAUUUAAUUUUGCAUGUAAAUAAUUAAUAUAAAUAAAAAAAUAAAAGGACAUCAGAGAUAUUUUAACCACGGUUGGUAAAGUAUAAAUUCAUUCAAAUAAAAAAAAAUUAAAUAAAGACUUAGUAUUCAAUAUUAAUAUAAACACAUGUAUUAAAUUGAUUAUUUAAUUUAGUAAAGUAAUCGAGAUACAUUUUAAUUGAUAAUGAAAAUUAAUAAAUAUGCCGAUUGUUUAAUCUAAUUUAUUAAUUUUAAUUAUUUAUUAAAGAAUAAUGUAAUCAUUUAAAAUUUAUAAUGCAAAUAAAUUAUACAUAGGGGAAAGGUGGCUAAGAGGACGCAUCGUCUAAGAGUACGCAGUGUCGUUACAGUUAAGUUGGCAACAUGUGGCGAAAAACUAGUGUCGGCCAGCCAUUGUGUUCUUAACUGUUGUUCCAGUCGUAGUUGGACGGAAAGUGUAGUGCGUGAUUUGUAGAGUGUACAGGUAAGAACAUAUUUUCUGCUUGUUUACUGUAAUAUUUAUAUCUUAUAAAAUAAGGAAUGUAAUAAUGCUGGUAAGGUGGAUGUGCAUUGUCAAGUAGUGUAAGAAUUGAUGAAUGUCUUCCUGUAGUAGCCCCCGAGUAUGUUUCCCGUAAAGUAGCAUCUGAUGCCAUCUGUCGGAUUUUAAAGGAAACAUUACAAAGUCGGGCAAGAGUACUCACGGUGAUAUCGGCUAAGAGUUCGCGCGUACUCUUGCCCGCACUGUUUGCGUACUCUUACCCGAUCCAUUAUUCCAGCAGUGUUCAUCAUAGGAUAUAAAUAUAAACAGAGGGAAGAGGAUUAAAGAAAUGAAUUAUCUGUUUAUGUUCGUUUUUUAUACAUGUAAACACUAAAGGUAUGUAUUUUAUGUGUGCAGAAAUGGGUAGACGGAAACGAACCACGAACAGGAAGCUCUUCACUGCUGAAGACAUUAAGAUAGUCCUAAGUCUGAGGGAGGAAGUUAAGCAUAUGCCAUAUUGGACUUCGAUUAGGCAAGAAUGAAGCCACUGUGCGAAAGAGGCUGAGAUCUGGGAAAAUUCCUACAUCCUUGGGGCGUUUCCACAAAGUGUUCAGCGAUGAACAAGAACAGGAAAUUGAAGACCUCAUCAAAGACUUCGACUGCAAAUUUUACGGUAUUACUAGGAAACAAUUAAUGGUGUUAGUGUAUAAGUUUGCUGACGCAAAUAACAUUGCACAUCCCUUUAACAAAGAUAAGCGAAUGGCUGGCAAGGACUGGGUAGUAGACUUUGUUAAAAGGCGUCAUCUUUCCUUGAGAGCACCUGAGCAGUGUAGUCUUGGUCGAGUAAUGGGUUUAAUGAAGUGCAGUGUGGCAGGUUUUUUGAGAACCUAAGGGUAUGUUAUGAAAACUUCAACUUUCCUCCCCACCGCAUAACAAAUAUGGAUGAAACGGGCAUUUCUACGGUGCCAAACACCACUCCCAAAGUUUACACAACAACAGGUAAACGGGCUGUAUGCAAAGUGUCCUCUGGAGAAAGAGGUGACAAUGUUACAGCUGUCUGUUGUGUUAGUGCUACAGGUUUUCCUGUUCCUCCAGCAUUAAUUUUUCCAAGGAAAAGAAUGCACGAUGCACUAUACAAAGACGCACCUCAAGGAACCCUUCCUCUAAUAUCGGAUUCUGGAUUUAUGAACUCAGAACUGUUUGUACAAUGGCUAAAUCACUAUCAGAAACACGUGAAAGCAUCAGCUGACGACCCGGCAUUGUUGAUACUCGACAAUGACCGCUCUCACUGUAGCCUGGAUGCAAUUCUGUUUUGCAGGGAACAUAACAUUACAUUGUUAACUCUUCCUCCUCAUUCCAGCCAUAUGCUUCAGCCAUUGGACAAAGUAUUCUUUGGGCCAUUAAAAUGUGCUUAUGCUAGAGAUGUGGAGGCAUGGAUGACAACACCAGGGAACCAGGGAACCAUGCAUCUGCUGUUCAGCUUAAACACGUAGCAGGUUUAUUUCGAAGUGCUUAUGGUAGAACGGCCACUGUAGAAAAAGCAAUAAAAUCCUUUGAAUGUACUGGUAUAUACCCUUUCAACGCAAAUGUAUUUUCUGCUGACGAUUUCGCACCCUCUCUGGUUACUCUCCGCGAGAUACAUGACUGUGAUAUUAGGCCGGAUUUUCAUGCAGCUAGCUGUGAAGAAGUAGAUGACACUUCUCAUAUCCCAUUAUGCCAGCCUUCAGAAGCUAACAAAGAGGCUAUGAUAAACUUACAUGACCAACCAAGUACCUCGACAGGUAAUCAAUCUCAGCUGUUCCACACACCAAUAUCUGAGAUAUAACCGUCUCCAAAGGACAAUUCGGCAGGUAAACGAAAAAGACGAGCACAAAAAUCAGAAAUACAGACGUCAACACCAGUGAAGAAUAAUAUGGAACUGAAAAAGCGAGAGAGUUAAGAAAA